This 549-nucleotide ribosomal RNA is filed under the name uncultured bacterium. RNAcentral describes it as "partial 16S ribosomal RNA". It matches the Rfam family "Bacterial small subunit ribosomal RNA", at positions 355 to 914 of the family's 1533-position model. The record is from RNAcentral.
UGGGGAAUUUUGGACAAUGGGCGAAAGCCUGAUGCAGCGACGCCGCGUGAGGGAUGACGGCCUUCGGGUUGUAAACCUCUUUCAAUAGGGACGAAGCGCAAGUGACGGUACCUAUAGAAGAAGGACCGGCCAACUACGUGCCAGCAGCCGCGGUAAUACGUAGGGUCCGAGCGUUGUCCGGAAUUACUGGGCGUAAAGAGCUCGUAGGUGGUUUGUCGCGUUGUUCGUGAAAACUCACAGCUUAACUGUGGGCGUGCGGGCGAUACGGGCAGACUAGAGUACUGCAGGGGAGACUGGAAUUCCUGGUGUAGCGGUGGAAUGCGCAGAUAUCAGGAGGAACACCGGUGGCGAAGGCGGGUCUCUGGGCAGUAACUGACGCUGAGGAGCGAAAGCGUGGGGAGCGAACAGGAUUAGAUACCCUGGUAGUCCACGCCGUAAACGGUGGGUACUAGGUGUGGGUUUCCUUCCUUGGGAUCCGUGCCGUAGCUAACGCAUUAAGUACCCCGCCUGGGGAGUACGGCCGCAAGGCUAAAACUCAAAGGAAUUGAC